GAUGAACGCUGGCGGCGUGCCUAAUACAUGCCAGUCGAGCGAACAGAUGAGGAGCUUGCUCCUCUGACGUUAGCGGCGGACGGGUGAGUAACACGUGGAUAACCUACCUAUAAGACUGGGAUAACUUCGGGAAACCGGAGCUAAUACCGGAUAAUAUAUUGAACCGCAUGGUUCAAUAGUGAAAGACGGUUUUGCUGUCACUUAUAGAUGGAUCCGCGCCGCAUUAGCUAGUUGGUAAGGUAACGGCUUACCAAGGCAACGAUGCGUAGCCGACCUGAGAGGGUGAUCGGCCACACUGGAACUGAGACACGGUCCAGACUCCUACGGGAGGCAGCAGUAGGGAAUCUUCCGCAAUGGGCGAAAGCCUGACGGGGCAACGCCGCGUGAGUGAUGAAGGUCUUCGGAUCGUAAAACUCUGUUAUUAGGGAAGAACAAAUGUGUAAGUAACUAUGCACGUCUUGACGGUACCUAAUCAGAAAGCCACGGCUAACUACGUG
This 497-nucleotide ribosomal RNA is filed under the name uncultured bacterium. RNAcentral's name for it is "partial 16S ribosomal RNA". It matches the Rfam family "Bacterial small subunit ribosomal RNA", at positions 28 to 507 of the family's 1533-position model. The record is from RNAcentral.